CCCCUAGUAACGGCGAGUGAAGCGGGAAGAGCUCAAGCUUAAAAUCUCCGUGCAAGUUUUGCGCGGCGAAUUGUAGUCUAUAGAGGCGUGGUCAGCGUGAGCACUUGGGGCAAGUUCCUUGGAAGAGGACAGCAUGGAGGGUGAUACUCCCGUUCAUCCCUGAGUUGCUCGUGCGUACGACCCGUUUUCUUUGAGUCGCGUUGUUUGGGAAUGCAGCGCAAAGUAGGUGGUAAAUUCCAUCUAAAGCUAAAUAUUGGUGCGAGACCGAUAGCGAACAAGUACCGUGAGGGAAAGAUGAAAAGAACUUUGAAAAGAGAGUUAAAGAGUACCUGAAACUGCUGAAAGGGAACCGAAUCGUUUCCAGUGUCUAUAAUCUGUGGCAUAUUUCAUUGGCGAGUGUGUGCGUGCGUGUGCUGUGGCAGUGGCUUUUUUGGCUGCGCUCGGUGUGUGUGCUGUGUGUGCUUGCUGGUGCCCUGUGCUGCGGUGGGACGUCAAGGUCAGUUCGUAUGCUGCGGGAAAUGGCUGCCGAG
RNAcentral lists this ribosomal RNA (530 nucleotides) under Phytophthora palmivora. RNAcentral describes it as "partial 28S large subunit ribosomal RNA". It matches the Rfam family "Eukaryotic large subunit ribosomal RNA", at positions 77 to 613 of the family's 3401-position model. The record is from RNAcentral. Lineage: Eukaryota; Oomycota; Peronosporomycetes; Peronosporales; Peronosporaceae.